AGUGAACGCUGGCGGUAGGCCUAACACAUGCAAGUCGAACGGCAGCACAGUAAGAGCUUGCUCUUACGGGUGGCGAGUGGCGGACGGGUUAGGAAUACAUCGGAAUCUACUUUUUCGUGGGGGCUAACGUAGGGAAACUUACGCUAAUACCGCAUACGACCUACGGGUGGAAGCAGGGGAUCUUCGGACCUUGCGCGAUUGCAUGAGCCGAUGUCGGAUUAGCUAGUUGGCGGGGUAAAGGCCCACCAAGGCGACGAUCCGUAGCUGGUCUGAGAGGAUGAUCAGCCACACUGGAACUGAGACACGGUCCAGACUCCUACGGGAGGCAGCAGUGGGGAAUAUUGGACAAUGGGCGCAAGCCUGAUCCAGCCAUACCGCGUGGGUGAAGAAGGCCUUCGGGUUGUAAAGCCCUUUUGUUGGGAAAGAAAAGCAGCAGGUUAAUACCCCGCUGUGAUGACGGUACCCAAAGAAUAAGCACCGGCUAACUUCGUG
This 492-nucleotide ribosomal RNA is filed under the name uncultured bacterium. RNAcentral's name for it is "partial 16S ribosomal RNA". It matches the Rfam family "Bacterial small subunit ribosomal RNA", at positions 29 to 507 of the family's 1533-position model. The record is from RNAcentral.